ACUUCGGUCGUUUCGAGCUGCGGCACGCGCACGAGCGCGUUCUGCAUCAGAAUCUC
Molecule: small RNA, 56 nt
Filed under: Sinorhizobium meliloti 2011
Lineage: Bacteria; Pseudomonadati; Pseudomonadota; Alphaproteobacteria; Hyphomicrobiales; Rhizobiaceae
Description: putative ncRNA
Source: RNAcentral